RNAcentral lists this small nuclear RNA (249 nucleotides) under Fukomys damarensis (Damara mole-rat). RNAcentral's name for it is "7SK RNA". It matches the Rfam family "7SK RNA". Rfam says of the family: 7SK was discovered as an abundant small nuclear RNA in the mid-70s but a possible function has only recently been suggested. The record is from Rfam by way of RNAcentral. Lineage: Eukaryota; Metazoa; Chordata; Mammalia; Rodentia; Bathyergidae.
AGAUAUGAGGGCAACCUGGCUGCCACAUCUGUGACCCCGUUUUUCUCCGGGUAGAUCUGGCUGACCUGAGCGGCUGGGCAGGUGUCCCCUCCCUUCCUUCCUAGACCACCCCCGAGAGAGAGGCCGAUUUCCUCCAUCAAGGGUAUACAGAUGGCUGCACUCCCCUGCUAGAACCUCCAAAUGAGCUCUCCAAAAAUAUCAUAAUAGAAUUAAGAGGAACAUUUUAGAUGACACAAUAUAGAUUGCAUG